Molecule: long non-coding RNA, 2001 nt
Filed under: Homo sapiens (human)
Lineage: Eukaryota; Metazoa; Chordata; Mammalia; Primates; Hominidae
Description: HSALNT0246998
Source: RNAcentral
CAAAGAGGAAGGCAGCAGUAUGUAUUCUCUGUAGGACCCCUAUUUGUGACCAAUUGUAAGAUCAUCUGAAGAUCGAGUCCGAUUGCCUGGCCAGGCCGGGCUGGGUGGUAUGUGCCCCCGUCACGCCGGAGGUUCCUGCUUUAGCGACGCCAAAGAUUGGGUGUGAGGGCAGCCCGCGGUGACAGAGACACGGAUCGGACCGAGAGAAAAAGGCUGUGGGCUUCACUGAGCAGAGUGACGUGCUUGAAGAGGGUUCUAUUGAAGAGGGUUCAUUGUAUUCAAUCCCACUAUGACCCAAGAUGAGAGAGUUCUUCUCAUUACUUUCUUUUUUCUGACACAGAGUUUUGCUCUUGUCGCCCAGGCUGGAGUGCAAUGGAGGGAUCUUGGCUCACUGCAACCUCUACCUCCCAGGUUCAAGCAGUUCUCCUGCCUCCACCUCUAGAGUAGCUGGGAUUACAGGCACGUGCCACCACACUCGGCUAAUUUUUGUAUUUUUAGUAGAGACAAGGCUUCACCAUGUUGGCCAGUCUAGUCUCGAACUCCUGACCUCAGGUGAUCUGCCUGCCUCGGCCUUCCAAAGUGCUGGGAUUACAGACAUAAGCCACCUCGCCUGGCCUCUUCUCAUUACUUUCAUGCUGAAAUGUUUUAUAACAUAUACUACAACAAGCAGGAAUAUCAAAUAUCCUGCUUUAGGAUCUCCAUCUCAAAAGAAGAAAAAAAUACCUCCCAACCCUGUGUGACGGUUAAUAUAGAGUGUCAACUUGAUUGGAUUGAAGGAUGCAAAGUAUUGUUCCUGGGUGUUUCUGAGAGGGUGUUGCCAAAGGAGAUUAACAUUUGAGGCAGCGGACUGGGAGAGGCAGACCCACCCUCAAUGUGAGUGGGCACCAUCUAAUCAGCUCCAGCGCUGCUAGGAUAAAGCAGUCAGAGGAACGUGGAAGGAACGUGAGUCUUCUGGCCUCCAUCUCUCCCGUGCUGGAUGCUUCCCGCCCUCAAACAUCGGACUCCAAAUUCUUGAGCUUUUGGACUCUUGGACUUACACCAGUGGUUUGCCAGGGGCUCUCAGUCCUUCAUCCACAGACUGAAAGCUGCACUGUCGGCUACCCUGCUUUUGACGUUUUGGGAGGCAGACUGGUUUCCUUGCUCGUCAGCUUGCAAAUGGCCUAUUGUGGGACUUCCUCUUGUGAUCGUUCAAUUCACAGGACCUCCACAGUGUGCCUUUUGCUGGGUAGGAAAAUGCCAGCCAGCUUGGAAAACAAGAAGACACAUUUAUGUCUACCAUGAGCAUUGGCAUCAGCCAAUUAUCCCACACGUUUUCGGCUAGUCAGUGCUGAAGAGAGCAAGAAUUUCAACCCUUCUUGCUACAUUCAAGACAUAGAAAUCCAGCCAGAAGACAACUCGAGAUAUUUUGUGGAUCUAUGCCUUUCCUUCAGAAAAGCAAAUAUCUACCAUAAAAAAACACUGGUCCAAUAUUCACUUCUAUAAGAAAUGCAGGGGCAAAUAAAUUAUGGAUUUUAUUAUCGCUAAUAGAGUCACUUAACCAUUACUCCUUACUACAUUCUGCUUUUCUAACAAAAUUUCGACUGAAUAUUCUCCCUCAGAGCCUCCAAAAGGAACCAACUGAUGACAACUGAUUUUGGACUUCUGGCCUCCUGAACUAUAACAAAAUAAACAUCUGUUGUUUUAAGCAAGCCAGGUUGUGAUUGUUACAGAAGCUCUAGGAAACUAAAAUACUUAAUAUCUAAGUAUCUUAAAACUAAGAUACCUUCUUAUACCUUCUUAUCAUGCGAUCAUAGAAAAUAUGUCCAAUUAGUCACAAGUGGGAUUGGGCAAGAGAAGAUGGAUAAGGGGUGUAAAUCCUUCACCACAAUUAAGAAAUUAUACGUAGAAAUUGCAUUCUAUUGGUGAAGCAAUAAAAUCAUUGUUGGGAAUAAGAACAGCAUUACAGUGUGGUGGCUCAAACCUGUACUCCCAGCAAUUUGGGAGGCUGAGGCAGGCGAUUCA